UAUAUACUAAACUAUGCCAAAAUAAUAUAUAUAUUAAAAAAAAAUAUAUAAAAUCACUCUAAGCGGUGGAUCACUCGGCUCAUGGGUCGAUGAAGAACGCAG
Molecule: ribosomal RNA, 102 nt
Filed under: Liriomyza chinensis
Lineage: Eukaryota; Metazoa; Arthropoda; Insecta; Diptera; Agromyzidae
Description: partial 5.8S ribosomal RNA
Rfam family: 5.8S ribosomal RNA (bases 55-102)
Source: RNAcentral